Molecule: long non-coding RNA, 142 nt
Organism: Cygnus olor (mute swan)
Lineage: Eukaryota; Metazoa; Chordata; Aves; Anseriformes; Anatidae
Exons: 3
Source: RefSeq, a predicted model, not a curated record
GGAACUCUGCUCUCAGUGCUCCCUGGACCCUGUCUGUGCCAGGUUCAAGUGCUGGUGAGACAACCCAGGACAUCCACAGCUCCCCAGCUCCCCAUGCCCGGCUCCCGCACGCCCUCCCCACAGGCACGGCGCUGGCAGUGGC